CGUGCCAGCAGCCGCGGUAAUACGUAGGGUGCGAGCGUUGUCCGGAUUUAUUGGGCGUAAAGGGCUCGUAGGUGGUUGAUCGCGUCGGAAGUGUAAUCUUGGGGCUUAACCCUGAGCGUGCUUUCGAUACGGGUUGACUUGAGGAAGGUAGGGGAGAAUGGAAUUCCUGGUGGAGCGGUGGAAUGCGCAGAUAUCAGGAGGAACACCAGUGGCGAAGGCGGUUCUCUGGGCCUUUCCUGACGCUGAGGAGCGAAAGCGUGGGGAGCGAACAGGCUUAGAUACCCUGGUAGUCCACGCCGUAAACGAUG
Molecule: ribosomal RNA, 308 nt
Filed under: uncultured bacterium
Lineage: Bacteria
Description: bacterial SSU rRNA
Rfam family: Bacterial small subunit ribosomal RNA
Source: RNAcentral